Molecule: ribosomal RNA, 383 nt
Filed under: uncultured Hemimycena
Lineage: Eukaryota; Fungi; Basidiomycota; Agaricomycetes; Agaricales; Tricholomataceae
Description: eukaryotic LSU rRNA
Rfam family: 5.8S ribosomal RNA (bases 1-122)
Source: RNAcentral
UCGAUGAAGAACGCAGCGAAAUGCGAUAAGUAAUGUGAAUUGCAGAAUUCAGUGAAUCAUCGAAUCUUUGAACGCACCUUGCGCCCUUUGGUAUUCCGAAGGGCAUGCCUGUUUGAGUGUUAUUAAAUUCUCAACCUUUUGAACGCUUUAUUGCGCUCACUAGGCUUGGAUGUGAGGGUUUUGCUGGCUUCCUUCAGUGGCGGUCUGCUCCCUUUAAAUGCAUUAGUGGGAUCCUUUGUGGAUCGGUUCACUUGGUGUGAUAAUAUAUCUACGCCGCUUGUACUGCGAAGCAAAACUUAUGGGAACCUGCUUAUAACCGUCUAGCAAUAGACAACUUUUGAACCUUUAACCUCAAAUCAGGUAGGACUACCCGCUGAACUUAA